This 253-nucleotide ribosomal RNA is filed under the name uncultured bacterium. RNAcentral's name for it is "partial 16S ribosomal RNA". It matches the Rfam family "Bacterial small subunit ribosomal RNA", at positions 524 to 776 of the family's 1533-position model. The record is from RNAcentral.
UACAGAGGGUGCGAGCGUUAAUCGGAAUUACUGGGCGUAAAGCGCGCGUAGGCGGCUUUUCAAGUCGAUUGUGAAAUCCCCGGGCUUAACCUGGGAACUGCAGUCGAGACUGUCUAGCUAGAGUGUGGUAGGGGAGAUCGGAAUUCCUGGUGUAGCGGUGAAAUGCGCAGAUAUCAGGAGGAACACCGGUGGCGAAGGCGGAUCUCUGGGCCAUUACUGACGCUGAGGAGCGAAAGCGUGGGGAGCGAACAGG